Molecule: non-coding RNA, 83 nt
Organism: Crucibulum laeve
Lineage: Eukaryota; Fungi; Basidiomycota; Agaricomycetes; Agaricales; Nidulariaceae
Source: the annotation of a GenBank genome assembly
GCCGUCGUUGUAUAAUGGUCAUUACGUUGCUUUCCGGUUUAUCCAUUAGGCAAAGAUUGUGGGUUCGAGUCCCAUCGACGGUU